GUUACGUCUUUUGUUGCUAACCAAGGCUCUGUUUUGUUGUCAGUUGAUGAUCCGAAUUCCUGGACUGGUGGGUCUGUUUGUGGUGUUCUUCGUUGAUACAAUCUCUGAUGAGUCUUCACAGAUCACCCUGGAGUCAUUAUAACCAAGAAGAAGAUGGCCGUGCCAAUAUGAUUUGCGACAGUGACGAAAGGGGUCUCUAGUUGUAAUAAUAUUAAGUUUGACAGGGUAUUUGCUUGUUGCCAGGCCUGUGAGAUGCCAAAGUUUCUUCUUGCUCUUGUCCUCAUAGUCGUCGUACCUUUGUACUCUUUAUUAAUACGAACGGCGCGCCCUUUGAAGUUUCUAUCUACUACAUUUUGACAAAUGGAUGUUGGAAUGUGCAACUCCAUGCUGUGAAAUGAAAUCCAUGAUAACCGCAUUUGUUCUCGUGUUUGCGACAUGAAACCUGGAAUCUAUUUUGUUUCUGUAUUCCCUCUUAAGCAAUGGUUUUGCUCGUGUCUUUGGUGGCUGAGAAUUUAUACAUCAACAGAACCUUUUUGUGCAGCAAUUGUUCACCUGUUGCUGACUUGAUGAAAGGACUUUGACUUUAGAACAAUUAUCAAGUAUUAAAUGAAUAGAAUCCGCGGCGCCUUGAAAACCAACAUGGAUCAUCUUUGGCACUGAAACAAAUUCUCUGUUGACCAGGAGAUGUUUCAGUAUGUCAACUGUCUGCUUUGUAAGCAUAAAUUAGCACACCUCACCAAAAAUUCAAAGAAAGAGGAUGAAUGAAUGGUGGAAUCAACAAAAUACAAAAAUCGUAUAUGUAUAUGACAUAUAAAUUUGCAUACUUAUGUGGUGAAUUUUGUGAAACAUAUAGUCCCAAAUGGCAGACUCAAGCUGACUGUCUUUAUCAGCGCAAAUCCAUAUGGUAUGACCAAGCAUUCAAAUAAUGCUAGUUAAGUAGGAUGAGUGAAUUAGGGUAGAUCCAACACCAUAUAAAAGAAACAUAAAUAACAUAAACAGUAAAUAUGAAUAGACUUGAGGCUAUUCCAACAAACAUCCUGCAAAAUUCACAGCUUUACAUAACCAAACACAAAAUCACUCAAACUGACUGCUUUUGAAGUGUAUAAAUCCGCGCACAUCACCAAAAAUCCAAAGGAAAUAAGUUAAGGGAGAAUGAAUGAAUGGUGGAAGCAACAAAAUACAAAGAUUAUAUGUACAUGAAAGAAAUAAUAUGCAUACUUGUGUGGUUUAUUUUGUGCAACAUAGUAUAUGCCAAGCUGAAGUAAAUCACAGUCUUUCCUGGUGUAAUCGAAUGAAUUGUGAUAGGUCCAACAACAUACAGAGAAACAUUUAUACUUUAGAAACAACAUACACAGAAACAUGUAUAACAGAAACUAUAAAUAUGCAUAUAACUAAUGAGACUAUUCCAACAAACAUUCUACAAAAUGGUGACCAACUGCAAAAUUCACAACUUUAUACAAAGCCAAACACAAAACCCUGUCAAUAAAACAUAUAUGAUGAUGCUCAGAGAGCCUGCACAGGCUACUGGAUAUGCUAUACCGAAUGNNNN
RNAcentral lists this long non-coding RNA (1549 nucleotides) under Hordeum vulgare. Its description in RNAcentral is "long non-coding RNA (HVUL_LNC002493)". Lineage: Eukaryota; Viridiplantae; Streptophyta; Magnoliopsida; Poales; Poaceae. The record is from RNAcentral.